RNAcentral lists this ribosomal RNA (465 nucleotides) under uncultured bacterium. Its description in RNAcentral is "bacterial SSU rRNA". It matches the Rfam family "Bacterial small subunit ribosomal RNA", at positions 329 to 792 of the family's 1533-position model. The record is from RNAcentral.
UUCCAGACUCCUACGGGAGGCAGCAGUGAGGAAUAUUGGUCAAUGGGCGAGAGCCUGAACCAGCCAAGUCGCGUGAGGGAAGACGGUCCUAUGGAUUGUAAACCUCUUUUGCCGGGGAGCAAAAAGCGGUACGCGUACCGCAUCGAGAGUACCCGGAGAAAAAGCAUCGGCUAACUCCGUGCCAGCAGCCGCGGUAAUACGGAGGAUGCGAGCGUUAUCCGGAUUUAUUGGGUUUAAAGGGUGCGCAGGCGGCGAUUUAAGUCGGCGGUAAAUUUUCGGGGCUCAACCCCGACAAGCCGUUGAAACUGGCUCGCUAGGGUGGGCGAGAAGUAUGCGGAAUGCGCGGUGUAGCGGUGAAAUGCAUAGAUAUCGCGCAGAACUCCGAUUGCGAAGGCAGCAUGCCGGCUCCACACUGACGCUGAGGCACGAAAGCGUGGGUAUCGAACAGGAUUAGAUACCCCUGUA